AGCAAGGUGCUGCAUGGCCGUCGUCAGCUCGUGCCGUGAGGUGUUGGGUUAAGUCCCGCAACGAGCGCAACCCCUAUCUUUAGUUGCCAGCACAUUAUGGUGGGGACUCUAAAGAGACUGCCUGCGCAAGCAGUGAGGAAGGUGGGGAUGACGUCAGGUCAUCAUGGCCCUUACGCCUAGGGCUACACACGUGCUACAAUGGGCGGUACAGAGGGUUGCUACCUGGUGACAGGAUGCCAAUCUCAAAAAGCCGCUCUCAGUUCGGAUCGAAGUCUGCAACUCGACUUCGUGAAGCUGGAAUCGCUAGUAAUCGCGUAUCAGCAAUGACGCGGUGAAUACGUUCCCGGGCCUUGUACACACCGCCCGUCAAGCCAUGGAAGUCAGGGAGACCUGAAGACAGUGACCGUCAAAGGAGCUGUUUAGGGUAAAACUGGUAANCUGGGGCUAAGU
This 450-nucleotide ribosomal RNA is filed under the name uncultured bacterium. RNAcentral's name for it is "bacterial SSU rRNA". It matches the Rfam family "Bacterial small subunit ribosomal RNA", at positions 1032 to 1486 of the family's 1533-position model. The record is from RNAcentral.